RNAcentral lists this transfer RNA (85 nucleotides) under Felis catus (domestic cat). It matches the Rfam family "tRNA". Rfam says of the family: Transfer RNA (tRNA) molecules are approximately 80 nucleotides in length. Their secondary structure includes four short double-helical elements and three loops (D, anti-codon, and T loops). Lineage: Eukaryota; Metazoa; Chordata; Mammalia; Carnivora; Felidae. The record is from Rfam by way of RNAcentral.
UCCUGAGUGGCUCAGUUGGUUGAGCACCUGACUUUGGCUCAGGUCAUGAUCUCACUGUUGGUGAGCUCAAGCCCCACCUCAGGUU